This is a long non-coding RNA of Clarias gariepinus (North African catfish), 1233 nucleotides long. RefSeq lists it as uncharacterized. The record is from RefSeq and is a predicted model, not a curated record. Lineage: Eukaryota; Metazoa; Chordata; Actinopteri; Siluriformes; Clariidae. The transcript is spliced from 2 exons.
CUGAGCAGCACGGCCGAGAGGGAGAAGUGAGAAUGGCCAGGACGGGUAGGACUUGGCGGUCCUUCAAGGAACACAGAGAGAGCCGUUAAAGGAAAAGUAAGAAAGAGUCUUCAAAUCCAAAAGGGCACUAUCGAAUACCAAGAGGUGUUUCAUCCCUGCUGUUUGUCCUUUUGUCCCUACUUGUCUUCUGCUUUGCGAAGUCAAAGUGCAGGAAGUGUAUGUACACCGACAUUGUCUAGAAAUAAUGUGAAAUUUUUAAUACACUGCACAUUUCUUAAUGCGUCCUUUCGUAACCUUAUCACGUAUCCUUUCUCAUUGUGUCCAGUAAACUGUCAGCCUAUGCUUGAGAUACUUCUCUUGUUAUAUUGGUGUGUUUUUUCGAAUGGUAAACAGGUUUUUCAGGCCCCCUGACUUUUAGAUAGAGGAAGAUAAAUAGACAGGAUUGGCUUCAGCCAAGAAGACACUGACGACAACCGUGAUAAAACAGUCUAAAGAAUGUAUGAGCCGUAAUCAGAUUUUCCAGCGUGUGUAACUUUGUGUUUUUCUUAUGUCCUACACGCGUAGAGCACGACCAUAAUGUGUAAGUCAUAAAUGGACUUUUUAAAGGCUUUUUAAAGACAGGAUAUUAAUCGUGAUGAAUUGUAAUUGUAAAAUAUUGAAGAAUAUUUCAGCAGUUGGUGACACUGAUCUGAAUUCCACCUUUUGUAUGUUUCAUGACCCUCGAACUUUGAGACCCUCAGCGGCCGGGUGGUUAACGGAACCCAUAAUGCAGCUGAUUGGUUCGUUAACAGCUGGAUGUGGAUUCCGUUUCCCGCCUUUCCUGCAAAAAGGUGACAUUUCUCCUGACAGUCUCCAUUUUAUAUCUGGUGUGUUUGAAAGCAGCUAACCUGGUUUAAAAGGCUUUCAAUAUGGAUUUUGUGAGUAAACUAAAUCGACUUAAAAUGAUGGUGAGUUUUAAUUUAGCUUAGUUUUGGAAGUACUGUACCUUUAAGUUGAUUUAGUGCCGUCCAUUAGUUUCACACUUUCGUCAGGAGAGAUUGUUCUGAUGUUGCUGCGGAAUGACACGUUUUCUCCCGGAUUGCCAGAUAUCCUAACCGCCACCGGGAACUUCGUGUCAGCCAGCAGUGAUAUCCAAAUAUCCAUCAGCAGAUUGAUUAUCCAAAUUACAUUCCGGGGCUCUAUUGAAAAUAAAUUUAAGAAAAAAAUGUUCAAUAAAUAUAUAUUUUUUACCAA